GUGGGUGUCCUGACGGACAGGCAACGGUCUACGAAGCCGUUUGAUGUAGGUUCGAGUCCUUCCAUCCACA
Molecule: transfer RNA, 70 nt
Filed under: Klebsiella phage vB_KpnM_KB57
Lineage: Duplodnaviria; Heunggongvirae; Uroviricota; Caudoviricetes
Also listed under: 2 other names
Rfam family: tRNA
About the family: Transfer RNA (tRNA) molecules are approximately 80 nucleotides in length. Their secondary structure includes four short double-helical elements and three loops (D, anti-codon, and T loops).
Source: Rfam by way of RNAcentral